AUCACAUUCCAGGAUCAGGAGAAAAUAAAAUUUGGGCAAUUAUUGGUGCGAUUGGAAACCUUUUCUUUGCAUUUAACACUGGAAUGAUUCCAGAGAUACAGGCUACAAUCAGACAACCUGUCGUUGGAAACAUGGUGAAAGCGCUUAACUUUCAGUUCACAGUGGGAGUUGUGCCUAUGCAUGCUGUUACUUACAUUGGGUAUUGGGCUUACGGAUCUGUUGUUUCGUCCUAUUUGCUCAACAAUGUUCAUGGUCCAGCUUGGGUGUUAGGAGUGGCUCACUUAUCUGCUUUUUUCCAAGCUAUCAUUACCUUGCAUAUAUUUGCAAGUCCAACAUAUGAGUACCUGGAUACUAAAUAUGGAGUGAAAGGAAGUGCCUUGGCUCCACGAAAUAUUCUAUUCAGACUGGUUGUCAGAGGUGGUUACCUUGUCAUGACCACUUUCCUCUCAGCUUUGCUACCUUUCCUAGGUAACUUCAUGAGCCUUACUGGUGCUAUCAGUACGAUUCCGCUCACAUUCAUACUCCCAAACCACAUGUACAUUAUAGCUAAGAAAGACAAGUUAACUAGCUUACAGAAGAGUUGGCAUUGGCUAAAUAUUGUCGUCUUUGGUUGCGUGUCAGUCGCUGCAUUUGUAGCUGCCUUGAAGCUAACCGUUGUACAGACUCAAACUUAUCAUGUCUUUGCUGAUCUGUAAUUUCUUUUCUUUUUUCUGUUUGGGUAAGUAGUUAUAAGGGUUCCAAGAUAUAUAUUUCUUUGUUAGCAACUUUUACUUUUUAUUUAUUAGAACAAUGCAAUAUUGG
This 801-nucleotide unclassified non-coding RNA is filed under the name Hevea brasiliensis (rubber tree). Lineage: Eukaryota; Viridiplantae; Streptophyta; Magnoliopsida; Malpighiales; Euphorbiaceae. The record is from RNAcentral.